GUCGUGAUUCGCACUUUAGCGGCCACCUCAGUGCAGACGUCACUUUUUUUUCCAAAGAGUGACAGUCGAAGAGGCUCACGGGAGAUGCAAACGUGCAAUAAUCUGCAUUUAAGAAGUGGAUGUGCCACAUCGCAGAACACCAAGUUGCCACUAGUGGGAUCACCUGCUGCCCACCUGAUUCCAGCACAGUAGAUAGCUACACAUUUGAAUUAAAAGGGUCUCGCUGUGUCACCUAGUCUGGAAUGCAGUGGUGCAAU
RNAcentral lists this long non-coding RNA (257 nucleotides) under Homo sapiens (human). RNAcentral describes it as "HSALNT0354455". The record is from RNAcentral. Lineage: Eukaryota; Metazoa; Chordata; Mammalia; Primates; Hominidae.